RNAcentral lists this ribosomal RNA (273 nucleotides) under Triticum aestivum (bread wheat). Its description in RNAcentral is "partial small subunit ribosomal RNA". The record is from RNAcentral. Lineage: Eukaryota; Viridiplantae; Streptophyta; Magnoliopsida; Poales; Poaceae.
AUGAGCAAAUCCCUGGGACCCAAGCUCCAGGCGCUUUCUACAUAUGAAAAGGAGUGCCUCGCCAUACUCAUGGCCGUAGAUCGAUGGCGCCCAUACCUGCUCACUUCUUCCUUUGUGAUCCGCACGGACCACCGCAGCUUUGUGUGCCUGGACGAGCAGCGCUUGACCACCCCUUGGCAGCAAAAGGCACUGACAAAACUGUUUGGCCUAAACUACACCAUCGAGUAUAGGAAAGGCGCGACUAACCUGGCGGCCGAUGCCUUGUCCCGUCGC